CCUACGGGGUGCUGCAGUGGGGAAUAUUGGACAAUGGGCGAAAGCCUGAUCCAGCCAUGCCGCGUGUGUGAAGAAGGCCUUCGGGUUGUAAAGCACUUUCGGUGGGGAAGAAAGCCUUGGGGCUAAUACCCUCGAGGAAGGACAUCACCCACAGAAGAAGCACCGGCUAACUCCGUGCCAGCAGCCGCGGUAAUACGGAGGGUGCGAGCGUUAAUCGGAAUUACUGGGCGUAAAGCGCGCGUAGGCGGUCUGAUAAGCCGGUUGUGAAAGCCCCGGGCUCAACCUGGGAACGGCAUCCGGAACUGUCAGGCUAGAGUGCAGGAGAGGAAGGUAGAAUUCCCGGUGUAGCGGUGAAAUGCGUAGAGAUCGGGAGGAAUACCAGUGGCGAAGGCGGCCUUCUGGACUGACACUGACGCUGAGGUGCGAAAGCGUGGGUAGCAAACAGGAUUAGAUACCCUAGUAGUC
RNAcentral lists this ribosomal RNA (465 nucleotides) under Vreelandella stevensii. Its description in RNAcentral is "partial 16S ribosomal RNA". It matches the Rfam family "Bacterial small subunit ribosomal RNA", at positions 338 to 795 of the family's 1533-position model. The record is from RNAcentral. Lineage: Bacteria; Pseudomonadati; Pseudomonadota; Gammaproteobacteria; Oceanospirillales; Halomonadaceae.